GAUGAACGCUGGCGGCGUGCCUAACACAUGCAAGUCGAGCGAACCCUUCGGGGUGAGCGGCGGACGGGUGAGUAACGCGUGGGUAACCUGCCCUAUACACACGGAUAACGUACCGAAAGGUACGCUAAUACGGGCUAAAGUUGGUGGAUGGCAUCUUCUAACAAUCAAAGCUCUGGCGGUAUAGGAUGGACCCGCGUCUGAUUAGCUAGUUGGUGAGGUAAUGGCUACCCAAGGCGACGAUCAGCAGCCGACCUGAGAGGGUGAUCGGCCACACUGGAACUGAGACACGGUCCAGACUCCUACGGGAGGCAGCAGUGGGGAAUAUUGCACAAUGGGCGAAAGCCUGAUGCAGCAACGCCGCGUGAGCGAUGAAGGUCUUCGGAUCGUAAAGCUCUGUCCUCAAGGAAGAUAAUGACGGUACUUGAGGAGGAAGCCCCGGCUAACUACGUGCCAGCCGCCGCAGUAA
RNAcentral lists this ribosomal RNA (466 nucleotides) under uncultured bacterium. RNAcentral describes it as "partial 16S ribosomal RNA". It matches the Rfam family "Bacterial small subunit ribosomal RNA", at positions 28 to 523 of the family's 1533-position model. The record is from RNAcentral.